Molecule: ribosomal RNA, 497 nt
Filed under: uncultured bacterium
Lineage: Bacteria
Description: partial 16S ribosomal RNA
Rfam family: Bacterial small subunit ribosomal RNA
Source: RNAcentral
GACGAACGCUGGCGGCGUGCCUAAUACAUGCAAGUUGAGCGCUGAAGGUUGGUACUUGUACCAACUGGAUGAGCAGCGAACGGGUGAGUAACGCGUGGGUAAUCUGCCUUUGAGCGGGGGACAACAUUUGGAAACGAAUGCUAAUACCGCAUAAAAACUUUAAACACAAGUUUUAAGUUUGAAAGAUGCAAUUGCAUCACUCAAAGAUGAUCCCGCGGUGUCUUAGCUAGUUUGUGAGGUAAAGGCUCACCAAGGCGAUGAUACAAAGGCGACCUGAGAGGGGGAUUCGGCACAAUGGGAAUGAGACACGGCCCAAACUCCCACGGGAGGGAGCAGUAAGGAAACCUCGGCAAUGGACGGAAGUCUGACCGGGCAAAGCCGGGUGAGUGGAUGAGGUUUUCGGAUCGUAAAAAUCUGUUUGUAGGGAAGAACGUUAGGGGGAGGGGAAAGUGCACCAAGUGACGGUAACUACUCAGAAAGCGACGGCUAACUACGUG